RNAcentral lists this small RNA (600 nucleotides) under Pan troglodytes (chimpanzee). RNAcentral describes it as "retained intron". Lineage: Eukaryota; Metazoa; Chordata; Mammalia; Primates; Hominidae. The record is from RNAcentral.
AAAUACUAACAACAUGGACUGAUUAUCUGAGCGUGAGCACACACUACUGCUGUUUUUAUUGGCUAUUUCUCUUCUCUGGUUUUCAGGUCUAUGAAACUAUUGGACACAGUAGUCCCACCUUGCUAGCAGAAGUGUUUCUGCCUAUUCCUGAGACUACUGUUGUCACUGGAAGGGCUCCUACUGAAGAAGUGGAGUUUAGCAGUAAUCAGCAUGUGACACUGGACCACGAGGGAGUUGGAAGUGGAGUGCCCUUCUCAUUUGAAGCUGAUGGCAGUAACCAGCUGACUCUGAUGACCUCAGGGAAAGUGUCUCAUAGUGUGGCAUGGGCCAUUGGAGAAAAUGGGAUACCUUUAAUUCCUCCAUUGUCACAGCAGAACAUCGGAUUUCGGAGUGCUUUGAAGAAAGCAGAUGCCAUCUCAUCUAUUGGCACAUCAGGACUGACAGACAUGAAAAAAUUGGCCAAGUGGGCAGCAGAGUCCAAGCUCGACCCAAAUGACCCCAACAAUGCCCCUCUGAUGCAGCUUAUCUCGGUUGCUACCAGUGGUGAAUCCUAUGUCCCUGAUUUCUUUAGACUGGAGCAGCUGCAACAGGAGUUUAACU